RNAcentral lists this unclassified non-coding RNA (433 nucleotides) under soil metagenome. RNAcentral's name for it is "partial contains 5.8S ribosomal RNA, internal transcribed spacer 2, and large subunit ribosomal RNA". The stretch from base 1 to 120 matches the Rfam family "5.8S ribosomal RNA", at positions 35 to 154 of the family's 154-position model. The record is from RNAcentral.
GAUGAAGAACGUAGCGAAAUGCGAUACGUAAUGUGAAUUGCAGAAUUCAGUGAAUCAUCGAAUCUUUGAACGCAUAUUGCGCUCUCUGGUAUUCCGGAGAGCAUGCUUGUUUGAGUAUCAGUAAACACCUCAACUUCCAUAUCUUUUUUGAAAUGGGAGUUGGACUUGAGUGAUCCCAACGCUUUUCCUCACCGAAAAGUGGCGGGUUACUUGAAAUGCAGGUGCAGCUGGACUUUUCUCUGAGCUAUACGCAUAUCUAUUUAGUCUGCCUAAAAAACAGAUUAUUACCUUUGCUGCAGCUAACAUAAAGGAGAUUAGUUCUUGUGCUGACUGAUGCAGGAUUCACAAAGACAGGCUUCGGCCGACUUUGUAAACUCGAUCUCAAAUCAAGUAAGACUACCCGCUGAACUUAAGCAUAUCAAUAAGCGGAGGA